This 693-nucleotide long non-coding RNA is filed under the name Manihot esculenta (cassava). Its description in RNAcentral is "long non-coding RNA (MESC_LNC010465)". Lineage: Eukaryota; Viridiplantae; Streptophyta; Magnoliopsida; Malpighiales; Euphorbiaceae. The record is from RNAcentral.
GAGAGCUUGGAUCUGCUCCCGGGCGGCUGCCAGGUGGCCCCUCGCGUCGCUGGUGGCAGUCAGGUUUUCAUCGCGACGCGCUUCCUCGAUCCGGCGGUCCACGGACUCCCGGAGAGAGAGGUCACGGGCAUCCACCUCCAUAACCAGGCCUAACACCUAGUACGGAAGAACAAUUGUCAAGAAAAGAAACAAAGCAAACUCAAAGAGAAGUGAAAAAAAAUAACUUUCCAUCAGAAGCAUUUCUCCAAUCGUGGAUCCGAGCUCCUCACGAGAGCGAGAUUGGAAGGACACCUGCUCCUUGGUAGAACGGGCCAAGUGACCAGUCAGGGCCAGCAGACGAGGAUCCGAAGCCUCUGUUAUCCCGCCGAACAUCCGCUCCCGGAGAAGUGCGGCAACAGCAGAGGCCGGAGACUCAGAGGAAAUGCUUGACAGGUCCAGAAUGUUGUCAGCAGGGGACGACGAAGGAACAACAGAAACACCCUUCCCCUUCCCAAUGGAAGAAAGAGGUGGGGAAGGACCCGCAGCAGUCCUGGACUUCUUCCGAGCAGGAGAUGGGACAGGCGUUCCAGAAGAGGUCGGACGCUUGCCCCCGGUCUUUGAGGAGACGCCCUCAGCUCCCUCAGGCUCAGUCCUCACAGGGGCAGGGGCACCUUCACCAGAAACCUCUGGGCUUUGAUCCUCUAGGAGGAUGAC